GCGCUGGUGGUUCAGUGGUAGAAUUCUCGCCUGCCACGCGGGAGACCGGGGUUCGAUUCCCCGCUAGCGCA
RNAcentral lists this transfer RNA (71 nucleotides) under Dendronephthya gigantea. RNAcentral's name for it is "tRNA-Gly". It matches the Rfam family "tRNA". From Rfam's summary of the family: Transfer RNA (tRNA) molecules are approximately 80 nucleotides in length. Their secondary structure includes four short double-helical elements and three loops (D, anti-codon, and T loops). Lineage: Eukaryota; Metazoa; Cnidaria; Anthozoa; Malacalcyonacea; Nephtheidae. The record is from RNAcentral.